UUAUAUUCUGAUACAAUUAACAUUAAGAAUUACUUUUGUUAGCAGUGUAAUCUGGUAUUCAAUUGUGAUUGACAAUGUUCUCUACAGUCAAAGAGAGAACAGGAGAAUCUUUCAGAGAAAGGGAGACUCUUGAAAAAAUGUGUGAAGAACUUCAUAUAUCUCCCAAGACAAUGUUUUACAAAUUUUUGAGAAAAAUCCAGUGGCUCCUGAAUUAUGUCCCUAUGGUAUCAUUUUAAAACUACCAGGUCACACAAUGUUAUAAUUCAAUAACUGCUAAUAACAUAGUAAGAGAUAAAUGGUUGGUGAAGAUGAAAAUAGUUCUUAAUUUUUUUUUUAUUGUGUAUGUCAACCUUUCUUUGCUGCAAUUAUAUCUGGGCUGUUUUUCCAUUUUGAGGCUAAAUGCAAAUUCAGAUUAUAAAUUAUUCCUUCUAAAGAACACGUACUGGAUAAAGAAAAGUUUAAAAUAGUGUGUCUUAGCAGUUAUUUUCUUUUGUAAACAGGAUCAACACAAACAGUGCUGUCAGACGAUGAUGAUUAAUGGUCGAAAACACUAUAGAUCUGCAUUAUGUAAUGCAUCUCAUAUCCUUGAAAUGAGGAUUGUAAUUUGUCAUUGUUGUCUAGAGUUAAAAUUACAACAGUUGGCACAGUAUAGACUUACAGAUUGAGAAAUUUGAAGAGAUAAGAAAAGAAAAGAAUGCAUAUUUUCAGUGAAGACAUCUGUGUGGUUCUAUACAGAAUUUUUAUACAACUGAGCUGAAAAAGAGCAAAGAGAACUUUGUAAGAUUUUUCCAUUCUCCUUUGUCUUACCUACUCUUAUUGUCUGUCAAUUUCUACUUAUUUCUGUCAUUUUUGUGUCCUGCUUUCACCUGCAUCUCACUCAAGCCUCCAAUGACAGUUUCAGCAGCAAUUUUCAUGGGAGCUGUGAGCUUGCCAGUGGGGGCUUUCAGAUCCAAGGAGAAGGGAAUACCAUUUGUGUAAAGGCAUCUCAGGUACUGUGGCUUCAGGCUUUGCCAUCAGAAGACUUUGGUGUGAUUGUGAUGGUUUCAGCUAGGACAGGGUUAAAUUUUUGCGGUAGCUGGGAAGGUGGGUGUUAUCCCAUACCACCCCAUAUCACUGCCAGGGGUGGGGAAAGGGACUCCUGCUUCCCAGAAAAGGGUGUUCCUUCAGGUGGAAAAAACAUGACAGAUGGGUGCAAUGGUUCAGUAUUCAUAUUUUGUUGAGGGUUUCUCUGUGUUUCCAUUUUUUUUUGUCUUAUACCUUUUGUUUUUAAUAUUGUUGCUGUUACUGUUCAUAUUCUUACCUCAUUGCUGUUUCCAGUAAAUUGUUCUUAUCUCAACCUGUGAUCUUUGUCUUUUGGACCUGACUUUGAGUGUGGGGGGAGGGAGAAAUGUAUGGUCUUUUUAGUGGGGAGUACUAAACUGGAGAAUAAUUUUCCUAAACCAUAACAGUGAUCCAGAAACAGCUUCACCUCAGACUUUUUUUAUAUAUAUAUUUAUAUAUAUAUUUUUAUAUAUAUCCUGGAUAACAAUCUCAAUGCAGACAAGAUACUGAAACUAAAAAGCUAAAAUAGAUUUAGCAGUAGAGGACAUGUUGAAAAGGUAAAAAAUGGAAAUUAGAAGAAGGACAAGGAGAAAAAGGAAGAAGGUGAAACAAAUGGAAAAAAGGGGAAGACUUAUCCCUUCCUGGUAAGGCUGCAAAAAAACUGAUGAUUAUUUAACACCAGAUUUGAUUUCAUCAUAACUACUAAGUUCUUGACUUGAGCUCUGAAUCCCCAUGUAGUUAGAUGGAACAAUAAGGUGUAACAGGUGACCAUAAGCCAGCUAUGUGCAGAGCAGUGUAUUCAUCUUAGCUGGCAUGAGACUUUUUGAUAAAACCAUAUUUCAUAUGCAUCUUCCCAAAGAAAAACUGCCCUAAGAGAUAAUUUCUCAAACACUGAAAAAUAAGGAAGUGUCAGAGUUGAACACAUUGGCAAAUCUUUAUUCCCUUAUUAAAUUAUGACACUAGCUUUAGUUAUACAAUCAUAUGCAUUUUUCUCCUUGACCCCUGCUUCAUUAUGUGCAAAGAAUGAGCUUUUUAGUGUAUUCUUUAGCCUCACUCAGCAUGAGGUCUAUAUACUUUCCACUAUUAAGUGUUUUAUCUGUUAGGACAGCCGUACAUUUCCUGCUGGCUUGUAUUGUGACUCUCAUAGCACACGUGUUUCACAAACAUUUCUCCACAUUUCUCUGAAAGAACAGUUUUAUCAUCUCUUCCCUACAGCUGGGAAACUCAAGCUGUACAACACAAAUAUCUGAGAAUUCAAGCUAAUCCAUCUGAGUAGUACACAAUGAGUUACAUUUCAUAUUUUUAAAGGGCAGUUCCCAGUAGCUUCAGAUAUAGUCGUGAAUGUUUAGCAUUUCUCUGAAUCAGUCUGUGAAAUCUCAAGCUGGACAAUGAAAAGAGAGAAAAAAAUAACCACCUGGGAAAAAUGUGAUUAAAGAAAGUUGCCACACAGGAACUUUGCUGUGGAGACUGACUGCAGUUCUCAAAAGCUGCUUCUCUCUAGUGAUAGUCCUUUGUAUUUCCCUACAGCACCAGAGCUCUUUGAUAAGAAGUGUCAGCAACCUUGAUAACUAGCAGUGCUGUUGACACAUCCCAGAUAAUAAAAUGUGAUCUUUGCUCA
Cyanistes caeruleus (blue tit) is the source of this 2659-nucleotide long non-coding RNA. The record is from Ensembl. Lineage: Eukaryota; Metazoa; Chordata; Aves; Passeriformes; Paridae.